UUUCGCCCUCAAAUCAGGUAGGACUACCCGCUGAACUUAAGCAUAUCAAUAAGCGGAGGAAAAGAAACCAACAGGGAUUGCCUCAGUAACGGCGAGUGAAGCGGCAAAAGCUCAAAUUUGAAAUCCUUCGGGAGUUGUAAUUUGUAGGUUGGGAGACCCCGCGGCUAGUGGCACCAAGUCCCUUGGAACAGGGCGCCUUAGAGGGUGAGAGCCCCGUAGGUACCACAAUACCGUCUUGUGUCUCCUCUCCAAAGAGUCGAGUUGUUUGGGAAUGCAGCUCAAAGUGGGUGGUAAAUUCCAUCUAAAGCUAAAUACCGGCGAGAGACCGAUAGCGAACAAGUACAGUGAUGGAAAGAUGAAAAGCACUUUGAAAAGAGAGUGAAACAGUACGUGAAAUUGUUGAAAGGGAAGGGCUUGCAAGCAGACACGGCCUUCGUGCCGGGCCAGCAUCGGUUGCUAGGGGUGGAUAAGGAACAAGGAAUGUAGCUCCUCGGAGUAUUAUAGCCUUGCGCGAUACACCCACUGGCGACCGAGGCCUGCGGUAUUCUUUACCUAGGAUGCUGGCGUAAUGGUUGCAAGCCGCCCG
This 586-nucleotide ribosomal RNA is filed under the name Sungouiella intermedia. RNAcentral describes it as "eukaryotic LSU rRNA". It matches the Rfam family "Eukaryotic large subunit ribosomal RNA", at positions 1 to 651 of the family's 3401-position model. The record is from RNAcentral. Lineage: Eukaryota; Fungi; Ascomycota; Pichiomycetes; Serinales; Metschnikowiaceae.